CGAAAGGGAAACAGCCCAGACCACCAGCUAAGGUCCCAAAAUAUAUGUUAAGUGGAAAAGGAUGUGGCGUUGCCCAGACAACUAGGAUGUUGGCUUAGAAGCAGCCAUCAUUUAAAGAGUGCGUAAUAGCUCACUAGUCGAGUGACACUGCGCCGAAAAUGUACCGGGGCUAAACAUAUUACCGAAGCUGUGGAUUGUCCUUUGGACAAUGGUAGGAGAGCGUUCUAAGGGCGUUGAAGCAUGAUCGUAAGGACAUGUGGAGCGCUUAGAAGUGAGAAUGCCGGUGUGAGUAGCGAAAGACGGGUGAGAAUCCCGUCCACCGAUUGACUAAGGUUUCCAGAGGAAGGCUCGUCCGCUCUGGGUUAGUCGGGUCCUAAGCUGAGGCCGACAGGCGUAGGCGAUGGAUAACAGGUUGAUAUUCCUGUACCACCUAUAAUCGUUUUAAUCGAUGGGGGGACGCAGUAGGAUAGGCGAAGCGUGCGAUUGGAUUGCACGUCUAAGCAGUAAGGCUGAGUAUUAGGCAAAUCCGGUACUCGUUAAGGCUGA
RNAcentral lists this ribosomal RNA (546 nucleotides) under Staphylococcus aureus. Its description in RNAcentral is "partial 23S ribosomal RNA". It matches the Rfam family "Bacterial large subunit ribosomal RNA", at positions 1012 to 1559 of the family's 2925-position model. The record is from RNAcentral. Lineage: Bacteria; Bacillati; Bacillota; Bacilli; Caryophanales; Staphylococcaceae.